Long non-coding RNA from Maniola jurtina (meadow brown), 729 nucleotides. RefSeq lists it as uncharacterized. The record is from RefSeq and is a predicted model, not a curated record. The transcript has 2 exons. Lineage: Eukaryota; Metazoa; Arthropoda; Insecta; Lepidoptera; Nymphalidae.
UUUAAAAACCUAAAUCCACGCGGACGAAGUCGCGGGCAUUCUCUAGUAUUAAUAUAAAGAUCGGACGUAAGCAAUAUCUGAGUUUUUUAUCCGUAUUUUCACGGACUUGUAUCGGAUGAGUGCGUACAGUAAUUUGAUUCCUAAGCCAUUAAGGAAGUUUCCCUAUCCAAACUUGCAGUUUAUUAGCUCAGAUCAGCUCUCUAAUGCCAACCAUAUUUUUAAUUCCUCAACAAACGCAUUGAAUACCUCUUCGCCUUGUCGGUUAGAAAGCUUCAAUACCCCCCUUAACAUUCGUACCGUCAGUUAUAAACGUACCGCACGAACUAAAUCCGUACCCAAGCGUACCAUCAAUGUAUUUGAAGAACUAUAUUGUAUAACAGUUUUUUAAAUGGCAGAAACAUAUUUACAACAUCCAACACUCCACCACACUACCAACAUCCGACGUGACGUGUUAUCCUGUUUUGGAAAUGCUUCUGGUCAUACAAAAAUAUACUUUAGUCAACAUGUGGCGUUGAGUGUUGUAAGUGUGCCCCAGCCAUUAUUAUGCUUUAACAUUUUUUUGCUGUUUUGACGAUAUAAAAGUAUAAUAUGAGGCAUUUUUUGUAAUAAUAUUAGGUGUUUUUGAUUUUAUAGGUUUAGUUUUUGCUAUGCUGGAUGUAAAUCAAAUUCAUACUGUGAUAAGUUUCGAUUGUUUGCGUUCGCAUGAAUAAAACAAAUUAAUAAUACUGA